Molecule: ribosomal RNA, 23 nt
Filed under: Fusarium verticillioides
Lineage: Eukaryota; Fungi; Ascomycota; Sordariomycetes; Hypocreales; Nectriaceae
Description: partial 18S ribosomal RNA
Source: RNAcentral
UCCGUAGGUGAACCUGCGGAGGG